UAGUAACUGCGAGUGAAGCGGGAAAAGCUCAAAUUUAAAAUCUGGCGGUCUUUGGCCGUCCGAGUUGUAGUCUGGAGAAGUGCUUUCCGCGCUGGACCGUGUAUAAGUCUCUUGGAACAGAGCGUCAUAGAGGGUGAGAAUCCCGUCUUUGACACGGACUACCAGUGCUUUGUGAUGCCCUCUCAAAGAGUCGAGUUGUCAGGGAAUGCAGCUCAAAAUGGGUGGUGAAUUCCAUCUAAAGCUAAAUACAGGCGAGAGACCGAUAGCGAACAAGUACCGUGAGGGAAAGAUGAAAAGCACGAAGGAAAGAGAGCUAAACAGUACGUGAAAUUGCCGAAAGGGAAACGCUUGAAAUCAGUCGCGUCUGCCGGAACUCAGCCUUCCUUUUGGUCGGCGCAUUUUCUGGUAGACGGGCCAGCAUCGAUUUUGACCGUCGGAAAAGGGCUGAAGAAAUGUGGCACCGUUUGAUGUGUUAUAGUCUUCAGUCGCAUACGGCGGUCGGGAUCGAGGAACGCAGCGCGCCGCAAGGCAGGGGUUCGCCCACUUUCGCGCUUAGGAUGCUGGCAUAAUGGCUUAAACGACCCGUCUGAA
RNAcentral lists this ribosomal RNA (591 nucleotides) under Lentinus sajor-caju. RNAcentral's name for it is "LSU rRNA". It matches the Rfam family "Eukaryotic large subunit ribosomal RNA", at positions 81 to 657 of the family's 3401-position model. The record is from RNAcentral. Lineage: Eukaryota; Fungi; Basidiomycota; Agaricomycetes; Polyporales; Polyporaceae.